UUUUUUUUUUUUUUUGUUGUGAAAUUCAAUGUCUAUUAUUGUCAUUUUGUAUGAGGUUAUAUUUGUAAUCCAAUAAGUCAAAAUAUGUGGAGGUACACUGAGCAAAUCUGGAGGUCCCAAUAGCCGCACUCAAAAUUAAAGGGUAAAAUAUUGUAUAGUCUUUAUGAUUUGAAGUCAACAUUUGUUCAGUCCUUGUGGUUUUAUUUUAAUCUGAAUGGUCCUUAAAGUCACGAUCUUUCAUCCAAAUGGUCAUUCCGCCAAUUUUCUCAGUUAAAUUGAUGACGUGGCUGUUAAAAAUUACAAUAUCUUUAACGACCACGUCAGUAUUCUAAUAGAAAAAAUUGAUGGAAAUAGCACUUGGAUGAAAAAUCAUGACUUUAAGAACCAUUCAGAUUAAAAUAAAACCACAAGUAACGAACAAAUGUCGACUUCAAACCACAAAGACUAAAUAAAUUUCAAUUCAAAAUUAAAUAAAAUCAAAAUCGAAGUAACAAAAGCAAAGUGCCAGAGAAUUGAAGAACAUAACUAAAGCUAUAUAGAAUAAAAUCCAUUAUUCAAAAAAUAGAAGCAUCAAACCCAAUUAGCUAGCAACUACAAAAUAGCACAAACAACAAGCAAAGUAACUACCUUUGCGAUUCAACCAAUGCCUCAAUCAUGCUCCCAAAAAACCCCAAAUUUGCAAAUAGACAGAGCACUGAAGAGAGUCUAAAUGCACUAGAAAAUAUGGGUUAAGGCAAUGGAAGGGUAUAAUCAGCAAUUUUCUCCCAAGAUUUGAGCGUUGUCUCUUUGUACUUAAUUUUGUACAGCGCGAGUUUAGCUAUGGUGAAACUCAAGCUGGCAAUGCUUUCAUCCAAAAUGCUAACUUUUUCUACAGCUUUUUUCUUCUCUUCUUCUGUCAAAUUGCCAUAAAGGAGACUCAAAUAUGGUCUACCAUCUGCAGAGGAGGGUGGACAAAUCAAAUUUCAUACAAUAGAAAAAUUAGCAAAACAUACAGCUCUGGUCCAUUUCAAAAUAAUGUAUAAACUCUAUAAAAAAUAAUUUUUAAAACAGUAAGUUGUACAAUGAAGAGAAGUUACUCAGGUAACCAAAAUGUCCGUUGGAUAUGCCAGUUGUGUAUUUUAACUGCAAAUAGAAAAGUUUAGUGAUCUAACAUUACAUUAUUACUCACUGUGUUUUAAGACAAAUGAGAGUAAUUGAACACGCGGCUCUAUUAGUACCUAGAUAUAAAAUUAUAGGUGCCAUAAACAAAAAGAUGCAAGAAAUCUCCAAAUCAAAUUCAUUGUUUCAAAUUAGUCAAUCAUACAUCUAUCUAAAACAACACUUGAAAGCUCAUAUGAAGAAAAGACAAAACAUCAGAAUCAUAACAAGAACAACUAAUACCUGACUGCUUGCUUCUGAAGAUGUAUCAAUGAGUAGAGAAACACAUUGGUGAUAAAAAUUUGUGGUAACCACCAGACUAACUUUUGCUUGGUAGGCAUGGAAAUUUUUAGAACAGAGAGAUCUAAAUUCGUCGAGCACAUCUUCAUCCGUCGUACAAAUAGAUCCUAUAACAGGAAUAUGGGGUUCGAUCUCUGGCCCCCCAAACUCGGUUUUGAGACCUUCCAUCACCUUCUUGAUCCUGAGAGACACUUCAGCCAUUGGGAUUGCCCAUAUUGAAUAUGAGUUCCAUUCCAAAUCCAUUAUUGAAGGACUGGAUAAAGAGUCUGUGAGUGGAGAGAAGUUUGCCUGUAAAAUCAGCACAAAACAUCAAGAGUGUGCAUGUAAGGUAUUUCCGAACUAAAAAUACAAUUUGAACACACUUACUGAUACAAACUAAUUCAAGCAUUCAGAUAGAAAGAAGAAAAGAAAAUUAGCAAACUGUACCACACUGAAAUUAUCUCUUCUCUCGAGCUUGUGGUCUCCCAAGACUGAAGCUAUACUGUUCACAUAAACAACAGCUACAAUAUCAUCAGAAGUCGAAUAAGGCGUGUUAUGAAAGAGAGCAUCUUUAAGCCUUUCGCUACCAAGGUCGUAGGAGAGUACAAGUCCCAUAAAGUUAAGUCCCGUAAAGUCAUUCAGAAAAAUCUCAUUGCUAUUAAGCAAUGCCAAUGGCUUCUGAGUGGGUUCAAGAGUUAUGUGUUUUUUCCAAGCACCCUUCGGACCACCAAGUUCAUCCAGAACCCAUAUUUCAAAAGAAUAUUCACGUUCAGGUUUAUAAUCAUCAACCAAUACAAAAAGGGCAGGGGAUUCGUUCCACACUCGAAGAGCCAUAAAAGUUCGAGCCACAUUAGGUCGAUCAAAACUGUCAGGUGAUAUUAUGAAAUACCUCAUUUUGAAUAUCCAAUAAAAUGAUGACCUGCCUAAUGAGGUCCUCGUAUGCAUCCAACACAUUCAGUUCUUUGUGUUGCUCAUGUCCAAGCCAAUAAAGCAUUUGCUUGAAUUGCAUCUGGAAACUUUCAAGCCUAAAGACAGUGGUUUCUGUUUCUAAAGCAUUGGUGUUGAUCUUUGUCCAAGAAUCAGUACUCAAAGAGUAUAUUGCUGCCUUAGCACGAUUAUGAAUAUCAUAUCCCUCAUCCCUCCAAUUUGAAGCAUAACUUAGUCCAAUGUUAACAACUUUGUAUUCGUUCAAUUUAGCAUCAUAUCCAAAACCCUGAACAUCCGUGGAGUGCGACACAUCGUCACCCCAAAUAACAUCUGGAGGGUCGUCACCCCACGUACUAACUGGAAGGUAUGGAAAGGGGGGAAGAAGCUUAAAUUCUUGAAUUGGUGGGUUCCAUAAAAUCACCUGAAAAGAUUUAACUAGAAGUAGACAGAUGAUUCCAUUGCAGUGGCCUACCAUAUGAACUGCUUCCCCUUUAGUCUUUAGACUCAUACAAAGAGGAAUCUUGAUGUCCUCGACACUAGAAACAAUAAUUUUGUCCUCACCAUUGUCAAUACUGUCGUUAUUGCAUAAAUUAAGCAACGAAAAUACUAGCUCAUCUUCUUUUUUAUUUUCUUCUUCUUCUUCAGUGUUAUUAGUCGUGUCCUUGGAGAUUAAACGUUUCAUGACGAGCAAAUGCUUUGAAUUGUAAUUGUAACUGGAGAGGUGCUUAGCUACGAACCUGGGAUUGUUGAUCAGUGGAUACCACCUUUUAGAAGCGCAUUUGAAUCGCAUCAGAGCCUUGGGAGGCAGAGUUGCCAAGAUUUUCUCCACCAGAUCUUCACCAACCUCUGUCAUUUCUGCCACGUUCUUUCCUCUUCAACCUCUUCAAUUAAAAGUUGUAAAAGAGAAAAUUCAUUACAAUAGAUAACAACGAUAAUACUAGUUAUAAAAACAAUGGUGCAUAGAGAAUUAAUAAACGAAAUCGGCUCUGACUACAGAGAAUUAUGUACCUAAGUCCUUAACCUGCGAACUAGAACAAGAGAUGGGGAAAGAACUCAAAGAAGGGAUGAUGAUUCUGAGGUGAGUCUUCUGGAGAUCGAGACGAUAUAAGGAUUAUAAGCGAUGGAGAUUUGAGACUGAGAGUCACUGAGACAUGAAACAGCUUCCGAGUUCUGAUGGUGUUGUUUUGCUAUAUAUUUAUUUUAGGAUUAAACUCAGUAUGUUAUCCUGAACUAUAGGUCACUCAUCAGGUGUGUCCUUAUUCUUUUUUUUCAAUCACGUGUACCUCUAUAUUCUGAAAAUCUAUCAAACUCGGACAAAAAUCAAAAUUACACCUAAAAGUGACGUCAUGAUCUGACAUGGAAGAGACAACAAUGCCCCACUUGUCAGUUUUUAACCCCCAAAGAGGGUAAAGAUGUCAUUUUGCCCAUUUUACUGUUUUUUUUAUUGGAACUGAUUUUUUUUACUUUGUCAUUUUUUUUAUUCUGUUUUCUUCUCCUCUCCUUCCUCUCUCUCGAUUUCUCUCUGCAACUCUCAUCUUCCCCAAAUUUCUUUUCAAACCCUAAUCCUCCGUCAAUCUUUCUACUGGACCAUGGAAGCUCAUGUUCGACUUCCGCUCCCUCACCUUCCCCCUCUGCUUCGGCGACGUGCUCACGCGCCUCCGCUACAACGCCGCCUACUUCCGCAUGAACUACGCCAUCGUCGUCCUCCUGAUCCUCUUCCUCAGCCUCCUUUGGCACCCGAUCUCGCUCAUCGUGAUGCUCGCCGCCUGGCUCUUCCUCUACUUCCUCCGAGACGAGCCGCUCGUCCUCUUCGGCAGCACCGUCGUGACGAUUGCGCUUCUCUUUCUGACGUCAGGCAUGAUGAACAUCCUGGUGGCUCUGCUGAUCGUAGUGGUGGUGGUGGCGGUGCACACGAUGCCGAGGAAGACAGAGGAUUUGCACGUCGAUGAGGAGAACGCUGGAUUGAUGACCGGCCCAGUCGGAUCUUCAGCUUAGUUAGCUCAAUCCCAUCCCACUUGUUUUUUUUCUUUUUUGGUUUUUUUUUGGGUUUUGAAAUUUAUAAUUGAAUGAAGUUGUUGUAUCUACCUACAAUUGGUUGUGAUAUGAUCUAAUAGUGAAAAUUUGUUUUUGGCUUUGGUGUGUACAAAUGUCAGUGAAGUCUUGGCAGUUCUUGAGAGUGUACCGGAUUUGAGGUGGGGUUUUCUAGUUUUUACUGGGAAUUGUUGCCAUUUAGGAAUUGCAGAAUUGGGGUUGGGAAGUUGUUGAUGGCAUGGAUUGAGAACAAUGUUGCUAUUUUAGUAGUAGUUCAGUAGUUCCCCAGUACUAUCUGAGUGUACAUUCAUCUUCAUUUUCGAUUGUUCAAAUCAAACGGGUUCUUUCGGGGUGUAAUAGUUCUAGGGUUUGAAAAGAAAUUUGGGGGAAGAUGAGAGUUGCAGAGAGAGAUCGAGAGAGAGGAAGGAGAGGAGAAGAAACAAGAAAAAAAAAAUGGCAAAGUAAAAAACAAUCAGUUCCAAUAAAAAAAACAGUAAAAUAGGUAAAAUGACAUCUUUACCCUUUUGGGGGGUUAAAAACUGACAAGUGAGUCAUUGUUGUCUCUUCCACGUCAGAUAAUGACGUCACUUUUGGGUAUAAUUUAUAAUUUUGUCUGAGUUUGAUAGAUUUUCAAAGUAUAAGGGUAUACGUAAUUAAAAAAAAGAACAAGGACAUACCUGAUGAGUAACCUAAAGUUCAGGAUAGCACACUGAAUUUAAUCAUUUAUUUUAAUUAGGCUUUUUAUGGUUAGUUUUUCCUUUUGCAAAUAACAAAAAAAAUAAAUUAAUGCCAAUGAAUACCUGAGCUGGAUGAUUAUAAUUACAAUUCUUAUUAUAAUUAUAAUUAUAAUUACCUCAUAAAACAAAAAUGUGUUUGAAGAUUAAGGGUCACUUUGGAAACGCAUUUUCAGCCUUAUUCUUGCUUCUUCUUUUUUUUACCGUCAUGCGCUAUUUAUUUUGUUCGGUAAAAUUUAUAAACCUGCGUUUUCUCUAAAAUCGUGGGAGAGAACCACAAAUUCUAAAAACAUGUACGAGGAUGUUUUUUUCCAUCUGCAUUCACAUAAUGCAAUUUGAAAAGGCAUUUUGUGAAAUCCGAAAACACCCUUCAUGAAAUUCAAGAUUGAUGCUACCAAAUCCCAUUAUGAUUCGCACUUCAUUCUCCACUUUGUUCUUUGAUUUGAGCGUGAUUGCAUUGAAUUCUAUUAUAGUUUGCGCGCCUUAUUUUUGGGUUUCUCUCCUAUAUAUGGAUUCUGCUGGGGUUUAUUUGGUUAUACAAUUUUCUCUUUUCCCUGUUUAUCGAGGUUCUUCUUUUUGGUGAUUUUGAAUUUAUAUUUGGGCUUAUAUAUGCGUAUAUAGAUUGAUUUAAUUUUUUCUUGAAGGGUGCAAACGGGGUUGACAACUCCUACUUUGAUUGAGUAGUUGGUUGAUCUCUGUACGAACAAGUUAGACACUAUUACUUUAGUUCUGUUUUUUUUUUUUUGUCAUUUAUUGAUUUUUAUCGAUCUGAGUAGUUGGAUCGAUUGAGAAAUCCUUGUUCUGUUUUGAAUUGCAUUUGAGGCCUUUAUAAUUAAACACGCCUAAGCUUUUGAUGUCUGAUACAUAUACAUAUAUAGUUGAGUUUGCUGCAUCUAUCUAGAUUGUAUUUUUUUAGCUUUUAGAACAAAUCUCUCAAAUCUGCUUGUAUCGAUCCAAAAAUAAAAAUUGAAUCAGCAAGAAUCACGGUCAGGGCCUAAUCAAAUUGGAUUGUAUUCACUUUCUGUGUUUUGGACUGUUUGAUCUUAUUUUCAUUUCCACGGAUUUGUUUUAGGUGCUAACUUUUAUCCAGUAAUGACUGUUACGAAACUAGUACAGAUUUAGAUGGGUUUACAGACAUGCUAAUGAGCUAAUCCUACCAUGAUGUAUUUAUUUUAUUUUUUCUAUUUGCUGGAUUCUUCUUGCUUUGUUUUGAACUAAAUAUAUAAAAGUAAAAAGUUCACCAGUCAAUGGCUUUGUUUUGUUUUGUUGUUGUUCUCCAAAUGUGUUGCUUGUAGCUUCAUAAACAUCAUGAUCAAUACAUAAUUAUCGAUGCAAUAUUGAUAAGAGCACAAAGUGCUACGUUUAUAAUAUAUUUCCGACCCUAUUUAGCUAUAUAAUUUCUUUAACAAUAUUCAUAUUAACUAAGUUUGUGCUUUUAGGUCAUAAAUAAAGUCGAAGAGCUUAAAAGAGACAAAAGAUGAGACAUCUUGAAGGAAAAGGAAUCCAUGUCGUAUAAGGAAAGAAAUCAGAAAAUCUGCCAUAAAUUGUCAGUUAAAUUCGACAGAAGAUUGUGAUCAACUUAAGACGAUCCAGGAGAUGUGCCAUAUAUCAAUGAAAAUCUACAAGAGUCUACUUUCCAUAACUUUUUACGGAUCGUCAAUACCUAUUUUGGAGAAGAAGUUAUGACCGUUUGAGUGGUCAAAUGUCAGUUUGCCCGAAUUUCUGAUUUGGACCAAACUUCUAUUUCGAGGCCCAAACCACAUUGGUAAGCCCAUGGAUGAGUUUUGAGGGUUUAAUAACCCUAAUCACAGCUGAAAAGAGGGAGGACUUGAAGAUUAGAGGAGGCGAGCGAUCUCACAUCAUCAGAACCUCCAUAGUUGCGGACUCGCACAAGGAAGCCGCCAAGCCAUCAUUGAUCUCUCAAUCAUCCACGGUUUACCUUUCCUUUGUCAUCUUUUAUUCUCCUUGUGUGAUUUUGUAGCCAUGUGUGGCAGAUUUCUCUUAGUUAGGGGCAAAAUUUGAAGCCCCAAGAAUGUUUUAGAUAUUGUUUUGAAUCUUGAUUUCGAAUUAUUAAGUCUUUCAAAUUGUUUAUUUGGUUUUGUUUUAUGGAGAACUUUUGCUUGUUUAUGUUCAUGUAUGCGCAACAUAGAACAUUAUAAACUUGUGAGUGGGGCUAGAAUUAGGUUGUUUAAUCUCUUAAACGGUUAAUACGGCUUAAUUUAAGGUAGUAAAACCUAUAGGACAAUAGGUGAAACCAAAUAGAGAGACUUGCAUGCUAGGUAUGUGUUCCAUACUAAUUUUGCAUUCUUGUUCAAUUAAAUUUCUAUUGAUCUUAAUGCUUAGAAUAAUUUGUUGAUAGGAUAGCGUCUAUACUUUGAUCGAUUAUUCUAAAGGCUAAGUAACGGUGCGUUCAUCUUACUUGAGUAAUCCAGGAAAAUAAUAAAGACUUACGCAGUGCGUUCACGGUUUGUUCUUGAUUGAUACCGAUUUGUGACUUAAUGAUUAAAGUUUUGGUUGUUAACAUGUCUUGAAACAUACUUGGUGGUGGUCUCAUUCAUCUGAUCUAUUCUGCUUUAUUUGUUUCUUUGUUUUCUCUUGUUUAUAAUCACAAAACUCAUAUCUCUAGUAUUAUCAUCUUUUGUUUUCUCUCGUUUUGUAAUUAAUGUAAAUUGUAAAAGUACCCUUAAUCCCCGGUUUUUGUAACGAUACCCUUAUUUGCUAUUGUGAGGGUUCUUUUUGAUUGAAAGGUAACUAGGCCAAAAUUAACUCAGAGAUUUGGAUUACUGAGUUAAUCUUGUGCAUGAUUCAAAGACGAAAGAAGCUUGUAGCAUGAGCCGGCGUGGGAGCUAAAGGCACACUGCAGUGAUGAGAAUUAGACUGAGUUUUAGGGUUAGAUUUAUGGGAAGGAUCUGGGUUUCAAGGAUGGGGAUCGAAAGAUGGCUGAAAAAGCGGUUUUGGCUUGAAGGUUUGAAGGCAUGAAAGGUUGAGUGUUUUAGGGAUUUUUCUGGGUUGGUUGCUUCAUCCUUUUGCAGCUCUCAUACCUCUCUUCUUAUAGAGUUCAAUUGGUGGGUUUUGCGAUGGGUCGCGAUGCGUAAUCCAUUGUGUGUUGCGUAAAAAUUGUACACAGUGAGCGAAAAUGUCACCAAACAUAAUUUCACUCGUAUUCAUUUUGUGAAUAGAGUUUUAAUUAUUUCGGGUUCGACCCAUUCAAGACAGAAUGUGUCUCUUAAUUAUAUUCCCUCAAGGUAGGGAAACACCUUUUGAUUCCAUUUAUAAAGAAACCAAAAAUGUGGAUGAAAUUUGUUUUUGUAGCUGCACCCGAAUAUUUGAAUGGGUUGCCUACGUACCCUUGGAGAGGGAUCAAGCCACUCGUAGUUCAAGAGUUCCAACAAGUGAAUGACUCUGGAGGGCUUUGAUUUUGGAAUGAGAGUAGUGUAAUGUGUUUGGAUUUGUAUCUGAAGGCAUUUGAGCUUUGGAGCGAGACUUUAGCUUUAGGUGAUCCGGGAAUUUAUUUGGAGUGAUGGUUGCAUCUAGAUUUAAAUCCAGACUACCUACAUACCCUGUGAAGGGAUCAAACCUAUGUAAUUCAAAGAUUUGGGAGUGAAUUUGAUUUUUUUCUGGUGUUUUAGGAAUUUGACUGGAGUUAUUUGGACUGGCCGAAUUUGAUUGGUGGUGUCAGAGAUUCUGUUUGGAAUGGUGGUUGCAUCUAAUGGGUCGCUAGAUUGCCUACGUACCAUUUGUGGGAUCAAACCGACCGUAGUUCAUUAGUUUGGGUUUGCGGUUACCAGCUUUUUGAGUUUGACAGAUAUAUUUUUGAAUCUAUCAACUGUAUUCCUUGUGGACACCCAAUUUUACAGAGUGUCUGCUGAUUUGAUUUAGGCACCCGUCGUGCUAAGCUUUGCAGUUGGGCCUUGAGACUUGAAGAGGGCUUUAACACUGCUGCAUUUUGAGGCGGUCUACGGGUAAUUUGGUGGAGCCUGAUCAUUUAAUUUACGACCCGAGAUAUAAGAUGGGCUUGGUUCCAAUUGUUGUUAAGGAGGCCCAAUAGUCCGAGUGCGAGGGAGCCUGACUUAUGAGUUUUAGUUUAAUUCAUACGUUAGGCACCAUUCUUCUGUGAAAGAGGAAGACCCGUACACAUGCACCAUAGAGUUUGAGUGCCAUGUAUAGUUUCCAUGAUUUGCAUGAUACUUGAAUCGAUGGAGUAGGGUACAAGAAAAUAGAUACACCCGUGUGUAGAUUUUGAUGUAGCUCCACGUAUAUAAUUAACAAGUAGUUUGAGAGGGGUAUGGAGUUUACCCCUCAACAUGAUGUUUGCCGAUCUCUCCUUGUACACGAGGUGAUCUUGUUUUCCUCCUCCAUUUUGUGCUUUAGUUUUUCCCAGCAAAGAGUUGACUGUAUUACAGAUAGACGUCCACCACAGGCAGGCUUGUUUAUGUGCAAAUCAUGCAAGUAGAUCCACCAUCUCGGCUGUGAACGAGGGUUUGUACAGACUUUGUGUUUUUUUACAAAAGCCGUUGAUCAUUUGCUUGACGUCGAUGAAGAGGUAACCUAUUGGAAAGCAAACCGGACGACGAGCUACACUUCCGCCCCCUAGUACGCUGGACGCACCGCGUAUAGGUAUCGGAAGCGAGCUAGAGAGCACAUGUGAGGCAGACCAGAAGAUGAGCUACACUACCACCCCCUAAUACGCUGGACGCACCGCGUAUAGGUAUCGGUAGCAAGCUAGAGAGUGAACCGGAGGACGUUGCGAGUAAGCCAGAAGACGAGCUACACUUCCGCCCCCUAAUCUGGACGCACCGCGAAUAGGUAUCGGUAGCGAGCCAGAGUGCGCAAGCAGCUAAGUUGACCCUUCUUUAUUGUUGUAGUUGUGUAUGAGGGCUUAGUAGUGACUUUCUGUCUUUGCCCAAAAGUCGUCAUUGAUUAUUGGCAUAGAUGAUUGAAGAGGAGAGAAUAGCGGCGUCAUUGCUACAUAAAAGAAGCAUCUCUUUUCUGCACCAUAAAAGAGAAGCAUCUCUUUUCUGCACCAUAAAAGAGAAGAUCAGUAAUUUCAGGUGAUAACCAAGAUCAUAUACCUGUGAUCUUUUUGAAGCUUCUUCUGCUAACGCAAUGUCGCCAGGCCAGUUUAAGUGAAGCUUGAUUGUUGUAGAGCUUCAGUUGUUGACUGCCGUUGUAGAGGCUCGGUGUUGAGUACCCUGCCCUUUCUCUUUCUCUCUCUUUCCUUUCACCAUCUCUACUCGUCUCUCCUAUUUUCUUUUUGCGUCUUCUGAUGUCGCUCUGUUUCUCCGUCCUUUUUCGCCUCACAGUAAACCUCCUUUUAUAGAGGCUUAACGAUCAGGUGGGAUGAUGAUGAUAUCUCAAAAUUUGAAUUUCAAAUAUCAAACAGAUUGCAUAUACAUCCCCAUGUGAAGAAAGAAACUUGCUGAAAGUAUGUUUGGACGUGGCUGAUUUUUGUGUUGCCACCAAACUCAUUUUGCAUUCUUGAAUUUGAAAGAGAUGGAGGUAAUCUCGUUCGGUGGAUAAGCCAGCUAGUAUUUGAAUGUUUAGAUGGAGUACUUUGUAUAUUUUUAAAAAGAAACUCACUGAGAGUUCAACUCUUUGAUUAUGAUCAAAGGUUGACUACUUCAAGUUAAAUUCUUCUCCUUACGUGAGCUAGGUCCUCACCCGGCCCAUUAAUCGAUCAUAUAAUUUUGAUACCGUGAAUUUUUUUCAACACCGUGUAAAAUGAUUGUUUUUCUCAAGCACAUGAUCUUAGCCUCAAAACCUGGCAGAGAAAGGCUGACCUUGAGAGAUGGGAGAGAUGACUCACUGCAGAGGCGCUACGAGGGCGGCUGCAGAGACAGAAAUCUUGAAACGAGGCAGACCAAGUAACUUGAAUCCCACGAUUUCGUCAUCCAAGGAUGAAAGAGCUGCCUUGGAACCAGUCACUGACCUUCUUCUUCCUCAGAUUGGGAGUGAAUGAUACUUUUCUGUUGUGCAAAGCUUAUCGUCGUACUGCUACGGGGAAAAAAUAAAGUGGUAUCUGGUUCAACCAUGGGAAUGCAGAAAAGGAUUGAGUUUUUCCUAAAAGAAGAGAGUUUGGGCUUUUCUAAAAGAAAAAGGGUGUUGGGCUUUGGAUUCAAAGAUAUUUUAGGUUUAAAAGAUGAGCAGUCCAAUUCUCACGUUCUUCACCGAUUCGUCGCCGACUUAAGUCUUCGGGCUUGAGUUUCGGGUCCAAGACCGAAAUUUCUUAACAAUAUUAAAUCGGCGGACGAGCGUUAUGUGCCUCCGUAACCAUCCACACCAUACCCACUUCUACAAGCCCCAAUGAUGCGUGUAUGCAGCUUGGACCCAGAUGAAUGCAUGGGUAUGUUCGCUUGGAUUAAAUCAAGGAUUUAACCUAAAAUUGUAUGAAAUUAUCGCGUGACAAAGUAUUAAUUGAUCGCAUAAUUUUUUGGGUAUCAACAGCUAUAUACUACAAUUGACAUAAAAAAGAUUUUAAUUAAAACGCCCGGUUUCGGUCUCUAUCAAAUGUUCUCUUGCACUCUCCGUUUCUUUUCUCUUCAUAUCAAGUGCAUCUUGUUAACCAUUGAUUUCAAUAUUCUUUGGCUACUGUUAUUCUUACUUUAAUCACUUGUGUGUGUAUACACAAUAUAAUAAAAAUACACACACUUUUGAGUAAUAAGUAAUAAGUGUACAUUUGGUGUAUUAUAUUCAUUGAUAGUAUCUGCACUAGGAUAAGUCUAUCAUUUGUUAGUAUGUCCACUAGUAUAAGUUUGUUCUUUUGUGGCAAAGAUGGUAAGGAAAAAGAUCACUAAUGACAACACUACUUGGUGGUGGAUUUUCAAGUCUCUAACGUCUCAUUCAUCUGAUCUUUUCUGCUUUAUUUUGUUUCUUUGUUUUCUCUUAUUUAUAAUCACAAAACUCAUAUCUCUAGCACGUACUAUCAUCUUUUGUUUUCUCUUGUUUUAUAAUUAACGUAAAUUGUAAAGGUACUCUCAAUCCCCGAUUUUUGUAAUGAUACCCUUAUUUUAUUUGCAAUAUACUACAAUUGACACAAAAGAGUUUUUAAUUGAAACGCCCGGUUUCGGUCACUAUCAAAUGUUCUCUUGCACUUUGUUUCUUUUCUCUUCAUAUCAAAUGCAUCUUGUUAACCAUUGAUUUCAAUAUUCUUUGGCUACUGUUAUUCUUACUUUAAUCACUUGUGUGUGUGUAUACACAAUAUAAUAAAAAUACACACACUUUAAUUACUAUAUCUUCAUUGAUAGUAUAUGCACUAGGAUAAGUCUGUCAUUUGUUAGUUAUAAGUCUGUUCUUUUUUGGCAAAGAUGGGAAGGAAAAAGAUCACUAAUGACAACACUAUUGAGAUGACCUACCUUGAAAAUGGGCAAGGUGGAUCCAAAACUACUACUUGGAAUCCUCAAAGUGUAGCAAUUUUUUGUGACUUGUGUAUCAAAGAGGUGGGAAAAGGACAAUGUCCCGGCACACACUUUAGCAAAGAAGGAUGGUCAAGUUUGGUUGCAAACUUUCAUGUGGAGACUGGAAACAAUUAUAACAAAUCACAAUUGAAGAAUAAGUGGGAUUUGCUGAAAAAAAAAAUGGAAGAUAUGGAAAGAUCUAAUUGGGAAGGACAUUGGCCUAGGUUGGAAUCCUACUAAGAACACUGUUGAUGCAUCUGAGGAAUGGUGGAAAAAUAAAAUACCAGGUAUAUUAUGAUACAUUCCAUUACUUUAUAUUUACUUUAGUAUUAUGUUUAUGUACUGACAGUUACAAUUUCUAUAAAAUGUAGAUAAAUCCUCAAUAUGCAAAAUUGAGGGUUAGAGGCAUUAAUCCUGAAAUGGAGGCAAAGUUAGAUAUGAUGUUCAAUGGUGAUGUAGUUACUGGAAAAUAUGCAUGGACACCUUCAUCUGGUCUACCACCCCCUCAAAAUAGGAGUGUUCAUGAUGAUGUUAUUCCACUAGAAGCUAGUGGUGAUUCAAAGAAGUCCAAUCCUAAUGAAAUUGCAGAGGUAACUCAAUUUUAUAAAGAGAUGGGUAAAAAGAGAACAAACAAGCAGCUUGACACACAAGCAUUGAAAGGGAAAAAAAAUAGGAGGUGCUGCAAAAUUUACCCUACAAAUUAAUCGUCUUGUUGAGACAAGGGGUUCUGCAUCAUCAACGUUGAUUAAUGGUUCACAAUGAUGCAGCGUGUUUGAAGUGAUGAAGGUAGUUGAAGGUUUGUGAGGAAUGGAAAUUGGUAGUCCACUGUGGUGGUGUGAAACUGAGCUAUUUUGCUCACAAGAAAAUAGAGAAAUGUUUUCUGUGAUGAAAGACCCUUAGAUGAAGCUUCAAUUUAUUCUUCGUAAUCAAGAAAGGGAACACAAUAAGUAGAUAUACGUACCCUGAUGGAUGUUACACAGUUACCAAUUAUGUCAUGCAUCAUUCUAAAUGUUUUUAUAUACUUAAGGAGAAGGUGCAAGCCGGAAAAAGGAAUGUACAAGAGCGGUUCCAACAUUCUGGCGAGACUGCUAGCAGAUAUUUUAGUGAAUUAAUUGCUAGAUGUGAUUUGUGUUAUGGCAACAGAACUCAUAAAACCUCUUGAUCCUGAGUUCAACAACAGAUGAGAAGGAAAAUAAACUGCAAAAAGUUUCUACAUACAACAACAGAGCAGCACACUGAGUCAUUGACAGUGAUGCUCACAAAUCUGUUAAAUACAUGCCAUAACAUCAUAGUGCUUCAUUGGUCAUGAUUCUCACACUUCAGACUCAACCAGUAUGCAUUAUGUUGUCUACGAAUGCAUGGGAUCGGAGAACAUCUUAGAAACAAGCUCAUCAUCAAGCUAGUGAUGAUGCAAGGAAGCAACGUCUGACAAAUAUCAAGAUCUGAGAAGACAAAUUGUUAAGGGAUCUGCGACAAAGUGAUCAUUUCUGAAACCAACCAGUUCAUAUAUCAGAUUCAUAUAUCGGAUCUCUAGCAUGUAGAAAAUGGAUCUAUAUAUCUGCAACUGUAAUAGUAGUGUAGUAGUCUUGGCUUAGCUUGGAUCCAAGUUCGUACGUGCUAGCUUGCAUGAACAUGGCAGAUAUUGUUGAAGCGUUUUCAUAAAUGAUUGCUGGUGUCAAUUACCAGAUAGUUGGGUACGAACUGCAUUCGAUCGUAUAAGUUCUGCAACAUGGAACUAUUAUCGAGAGAAUCUACUAUCGUUUGUCCACAUACAUGUUUCGAGUUGUCUAUGAUUUACAGUUUAGAUCUAUGUAUAUUGUCGACACGAGAUAGGAAAGUAGUAGAUUAUGGUGGUAGGAGAUUCGCAAUUGCUUAUUCAUGCUCUGACUGGUCGCUCCUCUACUCCCUGGCAUAUCAAAAGCAUUAUUCAGGAUAUCUGGGGUCUUGCAGGGCGAUUUCGUUCGAUCUCGAUUCAUCAUGUGUGGCGCGAGGCCAACAUUUUAGCAGAUAGUUUAGCCUUUUUAGGUCAUAAAAUGAAUAACCAGUCUGUUUGGUUGAACUCUCUUCCUUUGUACUUGUCUCCCCCGCCUUUCAACUUGAUCUUUCUGAGGGUGGUGUAGCUCAAGGGCUUUUGUUGUAUCAAAAAAAAAAAAAAACUCUAGAAUUACUGAUGAACUUCAAGAAAGUCUUGGACAGUUACAGUUGUGCUACAUUAGUAGACGAUGAUGAAAUUUUAUUUUUGUUUUUAAGGUUUCUCUUUUUUAUCCUAUUUUUGUGGACUACGCUGAAUAGUAAGUCUCCCUAGUUAUUGUUUUGGGCGUUUUUUGGCUCCUCUUUUGAGUUUAUCCCCUUUGAAACCAUUAAUGAAGUUAUUUCAUUAAUUCGCAAAAAUAUGAAAUGAAACCAAAAUUGGAGCGAAUCGAAAUUGGCAACAAAAGCAAAGUGCCAAAGAAUUGAAGAACAUAACAACACAACUAAAGCUAUAUAGAAUACAAUCCGUUAUUCAAAAAAUCCAAGCAUCAAACCCAAUUAGCUAGCAACUACAAAAUAGCACAAACAACAAGCAAAGUAUCUACCUUUGCAAUUCAACCAAUGCUCAAUCAUGCUCCCAAAAAACCCCAAACUGGCAAAUAGACAGAGCACUAAAGAGAGUCUAAAUGCACUAGAAAAUAUGGGUACGUUAAGGCGGCAAUGGAAGGGUAUAAUCAGCAAUUUUCUCCCAAUAUUUGAGCGUUGUAUCUUUGUACUUGAUUUUGUACAACGCGAGUUUAGCUAUGGUGAAACUCAAGCUGGCAAUGCUUUCAUCCAAAAUGCUAACUUUUUCUACAGCUUUUCUCUUCUCUUCUUCUGUUAGAUUGCCAUAAAGGAGACUCAAAUAUGGUCUACCAUCUGCAGAGGAGGGUGGACAAAUCAAAUAUCAUACAAUAGAACAAUUAGCACAACAUACAGCUCUGGUCCAUUUCAAAACAAAUGUAUCAACUCUAUAAAAAAUAAUUUUUAAAACAGUUUGAUGUAUAAAGAAGAGGAACUUACUCGCGUGGAAUCCAAAAUGUCCAUUGGAUAUGCCAGUUGUGUAAUCUAGCUGCAAAUAGAAAAAAGUUCAAUGAUCUAAUAUUACUCACCGUGAUUUAAGACAAAUGAGAGUAAUUGAAUACGCGGCUCUGUUACUACCUAGAUAUAAAAUUAUAGGUGCCAUAAACAAAAAGCUGAAAGAAAUCUUUAAAUCAAAUUCAUUGUUUCAAAUUAGUCAAUCAUACAUACAUCUAUCUUAAACAACACUUGAAAUCUUAUAUGAAGAAAAGACAAAACAUCAAAAUCAUAACAAGAAAAACUAAACACCUGACUGUAUGCUUCUGGUGAUGUAUCAAUGAGUAGAGAAACACAUUGGUGAUAAAAAUUUGUGGUAACCACCAGAUUAACUUUUGCUUGGUAGGCAUGGAAAUUUUUAGAACAGAGAGAUCUAAAUUUGUCAAGCACAUCUUCAUCCGUCAUACGAAUAGAUCCUACAACAGGAAUAUGUGGCUCGAUCUCUGGCCCACCAAACUCGGUUUUGAGACCUUCCAUCACCUUCUUGAUCCUGAGAGACACUUCAGCCGUUGGGAUUGCCCAUAUUGAAUAUGAGUUCCAUUCCAAAUCCAUUAUUGAAGGACUGGAUAAAGAGUCUGUCAGUGGAGAGAAGUUUGCCUAUAAAAUCAGCACAAAACAUCAAGAGUAUGCAUGUAAGGUAUUUCCGAACUAAAAAUACAAUUUGAACACACUUACUGACAAACUAAUUCAAGCAUUCGGAUAGAAAGAAGAAAAGAAAAUUAGCAAACUGUACCACACUGAAAUUGUCUCUUCUCUCGAGCUUGUGGUCUCCCAAGACUGAAGCUAUACUGUUCACAUAAACAACAGCUACAAUAUCAUCAGAAGUCGAACAAGGCGUGUUAUGAAAGAGAGUAUCUUUAAGCCUUUCGCUACCAAGGUCGUAGGAGAGUACAAGUCCCAUAAAGUUAAGUCCCGUAAAGUCAUUCAGAAAAAUCUCAUUGCUAUUAAGCAAUGCGAAUGGCUUCGGAGUGGGUUCAAGAGUUAUGUGUUUCUUCCAAGCACCCUUCGGACCACCAAGUUCAUCCAGAACCCAUAUUUCAAAAGAAUAUUCACGUUCAGGUUUAUAAUCAUCAACCAAUACAAAAAGGGCAAGGGAUUCGUUCCACACUCGAAGAGCCACAUUAGGUCGAUCAAAACUGUCAGGUAACAUGAUAUUAUGAAAUACCUCAUUUUGAAUAUCCAAUAAAAUGAUGACCUGCCUAAUGAGGUCCUCGUAUGCAUCCAACACAUUCAGUUCUUUGUGUUGCUCAUGUCCAAGCCAAUAAAGCAUUUGCUUGAAUUGGAUCUGGAAACUUUCAAGCCUAAAGACAGUGGUUUCUGUUUCUAAAGCAUUGGUGUUGAUCUUUGUCCAAGAAUCAGUACUCAAAGAGUAUAUUGCUGCCUUAGCACGAUUAUGAAUAUCAUAUCCCUCAUCCCUCCAAUUUGAAGCAUAACUUAGUCCAAUGUUAACAACUUUGUAUUCGUUCAAUUUAGCAUCAUAUCCAAAACCCUGAACAUCCGUGGAGUGCGACACAUCGUCACCCCAAAUAACAUCUGGAGGGUCGUCACCCCACGUACUAACUGGAAGGUAUGGAAAGGGGGGAAGAAGCUUAAAUUCUUGAAUUNNNNNNNNNNNNNNNNNNNNGAAAAGAUUUAACUAGAAGUAGACAGAUUAUUCCAUUGCAAUGGCCUACCAUAUGAACUGCUUCCCCUUUAGUCUUUAGACUCAUACAAAGAGGAAUCUUGAUGUCCUCGACACUAGAAACAAUAAUUCUGUCCUCACCAUUGUCAAUACUGUCGUUAUUGCAUAAAUUAAGCAACGAAAAUACUAGCUCAUCUUCUUUUUUAUUUUCUUCUUCUUCUUCUUCAGUGUUAUUAGUCGUGUCCUUGGAGAUUAAACGUUUCAUGACGAGCAGAUGCUUUGAAUUGUAAUUGUAACUGGAGAGGUGCUUAGCUACGAACCUGGGAUUGUUGAUCAGUGAAUACCACCUUUUAGAAGCGCAUUUGAAUCGCAUCAGAGCCUUGGGAGGCAGAGUUGACAUGAUUUUCUCCACUAGAUUUUCAUCAACCUCUAUCAUUUCUGCCACGUUCAACCUCUUCAAUUAAAAGUUAUAAAAGAGCAAAUUCAUUACAAUAGAUCACAACGAUGAUACUAGUUAUAAAAACAAUGGUGCUUAGAGAAUUAUUAAACGAAAUCGGCUCUGACUAUAGAGAAUUAUGUACCUAAGUCCUUAACCUGCGAACUAGAACAAUAGAUGGGGAAAGAACUCAAAGAAGGGAUGAUGAUUCUGAGGUGAGUCUUCUGGAGAUCGAGACGAUAUAAGGAUUAUAAGCGAUGGAGAUUUGAGACUGAGAGUCACUGAGACUUGAAACAGCUUCUGAGUUCUGAUGGUGUUGUUUUGCUAUAUAUUUAUUUCAAUUAGGCUUUUUAUGGUUAGUUUUUCCUUUUGCAAAUAACAACAAAAAUAAAUUAAUGCCAAUGAAUAUAUGAGCUGGAUGAUUAUAAUUACACUAUGUAGGUUAAUUCUUAUAUCCCAAAAGUCAGCUGAGAAGGAAAAUAAACUGCAAAAAAUUUCUACAUACAACAACAGAGCAGCACACUGAGUCAUUGACAGUGAUGCUCACAAAUCUAUUAAAUACAUGCCAUAACAUCAUGGUGAUUCAUAGGUCAUGAUUCUCACACUUCAGACUCAACUAGUAUGCAUUCUGUUGUCUACGAAUGCAUGGGAUCGGAGAACAUCUUAGAUUUUAGCUCAUCAUCAAGCUAGUGAUGAUGCAAGGAAGCAACGUCUGAGAAUAUCAAGAUCUGGGGAGACAAAUUGUUAAGGGAUCUGCGACAAAGUGAUCAUUUCUGAAACCAACCAGUUCAUAUGUCAGAACCCACCCCGAAUUUCACCAUGAAACCCGAAGUAUAUCCUGCGGGGACCACCUCUAAGGAAAAUUUAUCCAAAAUUCGGCAUAACCUCUCUUGAAAAUGGAUAACUCUUCCUAUAAAUACCUGCAAACACUUCAAAAGAAUCCAUCUAUAACCCUCUACUCUUAGAGCCUUCGUGCUCCCCAAAUCAUAACAUCUCCCAAUUUAUUUACUAACUUUAAUAAGCAUAAUCCCACAACCGACAAUCACGGUUCAGAACAACUCUAAUUGAGAUGAAAGAAAUUAGAAACAUAGAAAUGAGCAUAAGCUAUACUAUUGAUUAUGCCUCUUCUCCAUGUACGCUCGACCUCAACUAUGCUAACCUGCAAACUGGGCAUUUUUAAAACGAAUGGCCCAGGGGAAAACAUUUGCAAACGUUACAGUGAGUGAACAAAGAUAAAUUUAAUGAAAAUAUUUAUGGUUUCCCAAUUUAAAUUUUCAUAGAAAAUAUGUUGCAUGCGACAGCUCAAAAGCUCUCAACUCAUCAAUUGGCAAUUACAUGACUAGCUCCGGCUAGUCUCCAAAUUUAAUAAAAUGAAGCCUCUCAGGUUAAAAUAAUAUAUAUAUAUAUAUAUAUAUAUAUAAGUAUGUAUUUACACUCGUUAUACUCCUUGUACGAAUUCUAUGAAGGAAUAAGAAAAAUAGAAAUUCAUACAAGGCUACUACGCUUACGUCUAACGCUCACGUCACACCAUAAUGGAAUUUUACCUCAUUAUAGCGGAAAAGCACGUAUAACUAGCUAGCAUUUAUUUAUAUACAUAUUAUCCUCAUAAUCAUCCAUAUACAUAUCCACCGAAAAUCUCAUUUUCGGUAACUCUCCAAAAAUAAUAAAAAUUGACAAUUACAAAAGAAGCAAUAAAUAUAUGACUCCACCGAAAAUCUCAUUUUCGGUAACUUUCCAAAUAGCGAAGUUAACAAAUAAAAUAAGAGUAUUUACUUCCAAAAAUAAAUUCGCGAAAAUAAACAAUUCCACAAAUUGAUAUUCAAUAAAAUCAUUCAUUUAAUAUGAAAUCACCGCAUCCUUAUAAUUUAAAACGAACGUCCACUCACAACUUUAGGCAUACACCUGACGAAAUCCAAAUUGCCACUCAAGAGAGGUUUUCCCGAAUCCUAGCACAAUAACCAUGCUUAGGACCAAACUUCAAUUUCAGAAAAAAAAAUAAUACUUAAAUAUAUAACCCAAAACUCUUCCGCCUAACCCACUACCCUUUCUAAGAUUAAGCUUAUCGGAUUCACGCCAAACCCCAACCACAGCCUCUUUCAUUUAUUUCAACAUUCUAAAACAAUAAUAAGGGAAAUCCAACGGUCUGAUUCUACCCCAUUAACCGCCAAAUUCAUCAAUCUUUGAAAAAUUCCAAACCUAAUCAAAACUCCUUCAAAAAUUCCAAAUUUUACAACAUUAGACUCCCCUUAAUAUAACAAAUUUAAAUCCAUGAAAAUCCCCCUAACACCGCCGCCGCCGCCGUCUGAUCCGCCGGCAGCAGCGGCGGACUCCGGCGACCUCCAAUGCCUAUCAAAUUUUAGCAGUAACUUCCUCUCAACCCACUCUACAACUUUCCUAACGAGCACAAACACCAAUUUCAAGCCUAACUAGGUCAAUCGAACAAAAACAUUUCAAGAACCCUAGAACUUCCACUCACCGAUUCUCCUCACCUGAAACAAACUGGAUUGAGUCCUUUUAGGGCAAGGCUACUGGGUUGAAGACCUUCAAAACCAAAUAAGACUUGCCCGGAUUGGUGGCCAAAGGAGGAAGUUCCGGCGACGGAACACCAAGGAAGACCGGAGCUCUCGAGCACGAUAUCUCUCUCACGGCGGCGCUAGAGAGGCUGCCACCGGUCUAGGAAGGAAAAGGAGAUGAUGGCCGACCAUUUGGGACCAGUGCGGCGGUCUACGGUGGCCGGACGGCGGCGGACGGGCUCGGGAAGUUUUCAGCAGAGAGAGGGCUCGGGAGGAAAGAGAGAGAGAAGAGAGAAGAAAAGAGUUGGGCACUUGGGCUUGGGCUUUCCCAACCGGUUUCUACCCAAACCAAAUAUAAACCCAACUCCAAAAUAACACCACAAAAUAAUACCCUACUAAAAAUUACCUUUUUACUAGCUAAAAUUUACCAUUUUUACUGUCAUCAAAUAUUUCUUUUACGAAUCAUUCAUCCGAAAUAAUCGCCCCUCAAAACCCCUCUAGGGACCUUUGAAACUAUAAACUCAUUUACGAAGACGGUAAAAUUCUUAUUAAUACCAAGCUAGUAAAUAAGGUAAGAAUUUAAAAGUCGGGAUGUGACAUCAUAUAUCGGAUCUCUAGCAUGUAGAAAAUGGAUAUAUAUAUAUAUAAACAGUCUGUCUCUACCACGGACGUCUGCACCGUUUUACAGUGCGGAUUUUCGUCCGUUCGCCACCGUACGGCGCCGCGCGAGGGCACGCCUCCACCCCAACGGACUCUAGCAGCUUCCCGGACCACUUUCCAUCCCUGGCGAGUCCGCCGAAAUCCAGUUUUCCGGCCAGAUCACCAAAAACUUCAAACAAAGUCAAUCUGGCUGGAAAACUGGAAUUCGGCAGACUCACCGGGGACGGAAAGUGGUCGGGGAAGCUGCUGGAGUCGGCUGGGGUGGAGGCGCGCCCUCGCCGGCGCUGUACGGUGGCGAACGGACAAAAAUCCGCACCGUAAAACGGUGCGGACGUCCGCACCUGAGAAAAGUUCUAUAUAUAUAUAUCUGCAACUAUAAUAAUAGUGCAGUAGUCUUGGCUUAGCUUGGAUCCAAGUUCGUAUGUACAUACUAGCUUGCAUGAACAUGGCAGAUGUUGUUGAAGCGUUUUCAUAAAUGAUUGCUGGUGUCAAUUACUAGAUAGUUGGGUACGAACUGCAUUCGAUCGUAUAAGUUCUGCAACAUGGAACUAUUAUCGGGAGAAUCUACUAUCGUUUGUCCACAUACAUGUUUUGAGUUGUCUAUGAUUUACAGUUUAGAUCUAUGUAUAUUGUCGACACAGGAUAGGAAAGUAGUAGAUUAUGGUGGUAGGAGAUUCUCAAUUGCUUAUUCAUGCUCUGACUGGUCGCACCUCUACUCCUUGGCGUAUCAAAAGCAUUAAUGUUCAGGAUAUCUGGGUUCUUGCAUGGCGAUUUCGUUCGAUCUUCAUUCAUCAUGUGUGGCCAACUUUUUAGCAGAUAGUUUAGCCUUUCUAGUUCAUAAAAUGAACCAGUCUAUUUGGUUGAACUCUCUUCCUUUGUUCUUGUCUCCCGCCUUUCAACUUGAUCUUUCCGAGGGUGGUGUAGCUCGAGGGCUUUUGUUGUAACAUUUUCUUUUUAUAUAAAAAAAAUAAAAAUAAAAACUCUAGAAUUACUGAUGAACUUCAAGAAAGUCUUGGACAGUUACGUUUGUGUUACAUUAGUAGAAGAUGAUGAAAUUUUAUUUUUAUUUUUAAGGUUUCUCUUUUUUAUCCUAUCCUUGUGGACUAGGCUGAAUAGUAAGUCUCCAUAUUUGCCGUUCAUACAAACUAUUUGCAUAUGUGAUGAACUAUAUGUAAUGUACUAGUCAAAUGCAAAACUUCACGCCAAGCAAUUCACCCCAAGACUCAACAAUUCAAUGAUUCAUACCAAUGGAAGAGUUAGAAAUACUUAGGGCUGCCAAAGAAGGAAGGAGGCUUGGGGUUCAAAAAUCUUUGUGACUUCAACACUGCUCUGUUAGCCAAACAAGUGUGGAGGCUUCACACUGAACCCAAUUCUUUUUGGGCAAAGAUGAUUAAAGGGAUCUAUACUAUCCACACACGGAUGUUCUUCAGGCAGGAAAAGGGUCUAGGGCAUCGUGGGCAUGGAGCAGUUUAUUGGAAGGUAAAGCUCUAAUUGAAGAAUGUGCAAGAUGGUUAGUAGGCAAUGGGAACUCCAUUGACAUAUGGAGGGAUAAAUGGAUUUUAAAAUCUGAAAUGGACUUCAUUCACCCAACUAUGCUUAUCCCUCAGUCUGCUCCGACAAAAGUGUCUGAUUUAAUUGACUAGGACUCUUAUACAUGGGAUUUGCAGCCCAUUGUUGGACUAGUUCCUGAGCGUGAUAUGGAAGAUAUAAGAAAGCAGCUGUUCAGCCACAUUGAGGUUGAGGAUAGAUUAAUCUGGCCUCAAACAAAAGGUGGCUCUUACACGGUCAAAUCCGGGUAUAACCUCUUCCAUUCUCUAAAUCUAAAACCCAUUAGACACUUGAGCCAUUCCUCUCAUAGAGUACACCGAAGUGUUUGGUCUGCUAUCUGAUCUAUCCAAACACUACCCAAAAUAAAGCACUUUUUGUGGCAAGUUGUGAACAAUGCCAUACCCACCUAUCAGAAUCUCUUUCACAAGAAAAUUAUUGCUUCACCUAUCUACCAAAGUUGCGAGCUAGCCCCUGAAACAAUUGAAUACAUUCUACUUCUAUGCCUUACUGCUAUAUGCACAUGGUUCUCUUGUUCUCUCAAUUACAGGAUUAAUGUUCAAGAAAUCACAUCAAUUGAUUGAUGGAUUGAAAAGAUCAUAAAGCUUGCAGUCCUUAGCAAAUAUUUACAAGCUAAUUGUCAUACCAGGAUAGCCUUUAUCUGUUGGGAGCUGUGGAAGAGCAGAUGCUAAUUCUUUUUCCAGAUCACCAUGCCUCAUCCGCUAGCAAUAGCCUCUCAAGCAGAGAAUGCAGCUUCAGAAUUUUUGCAAAUAAAACAUCAUAAGAGUCAAGGAGAGGCAGGUAUAUAUUGUUUCUACUUUUACCCCCACUUCUCUCACUCCCGCUACUAUAUCCCAUUCCUCCCUUCAUCACCACCAUAGAAACCGAUUCCCUAUUCCUACUAACCCUCCCAUUGCAAUCCAACUUGGAAAUUCCUUUAACUCGGCCCACCCUUUCUCUCACAACCAUACACAUACCCACCAUAACCCCAUCACCAAUCAACCAACAAUCAUUAACCCAAUUCGAGAAACUUCAAACGUUAAUUGGGAAAAGCCACCCACAGGCUCUAUCAAAAUUAACUUUGAUGCUGCUUGGAUUAGUGAAACUAACCUUGCUGGGCUUGGAGUUGUUGUGCGAAAUCAUCAUGACUCUCUAAUUGAUGGAGCCUCUCAAAGUUGCAGUGCGAACUCAGCGAUUGAAGUAGAAGCUCGAGCUGAUAUCUUAGCUCUCUCUCUCGCCAUGAAAUACUCUCACUUUCCUACCCGAAUUGAAUCAGAUUAGGGUUAGGCUCGAUCUUUCUAUGGAACUCUUGAGACGUACUGUGAUUGAUUUUCCUGAGUUCGAGGAGGAGUUGAUAAAGUACGAACGAUUGCCGGAGUUUUGCCAAGAGUGUGGAUUGAUGGGACAUCCCACGAGUGCUUGUUUCAAGAAGCUGGGCAUUCCUUUUAUAGAAGAAGGAGUUUACGAGUGAAAAGACCAUUUCAAGCAAAAAAGCCAGGAAAACAAACAGACUUGAAGAAUCUUACCUGUGAUUGCCCGGAUACAUAGAGCCCCUCCUCCGUGCAAACCGAUCUCUUGGUCUUGGAUACCCAGAAAAGCGAACUACACAGCUCAUCAUGUUGCGUCACUUAGUGUGAGGAAGACAUGUCUGGAUGUCUGGAUUGACAGACCAUCGUCCUCCCUGGUUCGUAUUCUCUCUCGCAACAGAUUGUCGUGUCCUCCGCCGGAAGGUGUUACUAAUCUAAACGUGUAGACUCUAUUUGUUUUUUCUGGGUUUUUUUAUGUCUCUUCUGUGUCGCUUGUGUUCUUCUUUACCUUUAUUUUGUCUUUUAAGCUUUUUCUUUUUUGUUGGGCUUAUCUAGUCUCCCAAUCCAGUUGGGUUUGUGACUAUGAAAGCUUGUUUCUGAUUAGGGAUGGCAAUAAUCCCCAGCGGGUAGGGUACCCACGGGUAUUCGACCCUAACGGGGAAGAUAUACUGGUAUAAACGGGUAACGGGGAUGGGGAUCCUUAGUAUUCGGAUUCUUAAAUCGGGUACGGGGCGGGUAUGGUAUUUUGAUAUUCGUCCCCAUCCCCACCCAUUAAGGAUGAAAAUAUUAUUAUAUAUAAUUAUAUAAUUUAUUAUUAUAUAUAUUUAUAUAUAAUUUAUAAAUAAAUAUUUAUGUAAAAAAAAUUUGUAAUUCUCUUAAUAAACAUUUAAUGGACCUUCCUUUUUAUUAUAUAUUUUUAUUCUCUUAAUGAAAUUUACCGGUAUUGUUAUGUUUUAACCAAGACUUGUAUUUAUUUUUAUUGGAUUGAAGUAUGAAACUUAUUUAUUUUGGUAUUUGAUUUUAAUUUCAUACUUUUAUAUAAUUGUAUUUCGUAUUUAAAAAAAAAAUUUAAUUUAAUACAUAAUUGUUAACGGGUACGGGUACGGGUAUGGAAACGUAAUCCCCAAAGGAUACGGGUACGGGGAAUCUCCAUUAUCUAAUUACGGGUACGGGGACGGGUACGGGGAUGAAAAAUGUAAAAAGGUAUGGGUACGGUAUUUUGAUCCCCGUACCCUACCCUACCCAUUGCCAUCCCUAUUUCUGAUGGGCCUGUGUUGUUGGCUUGGUUGGGUGUGCCCUUGGGCCUUUCAAUCAGUUAAUGAAUGUUUUUCAACGACCAAAAAAAAAUGAUUCAUACCAAAACGUAGCCAAAAAAAGAGGAUGCAGCCCAAAAAAAAAAAAGAAUAAGAGCCACGUCAGCCAGGUUUCCAACCAACUCGAUCGGCGUUGCUGAUCUUGUCAUCGUCAUCGAUCGGUACAUGAAUGGAGGCGGUCCUGGUGCUCAUUUCGAUGGAGGAAGAGGUAGGGGAGAGAGAGAGAGAGCACCGAGCGGCGUAUCUCAACUGUGGAAGAGGAUCUAGAGUACUAACCGGUGAUCGAGGGCGGUGACGGAAGGAAAGGCGAGGCGGAGGUGGAGGAUCUUGAACCCGUGCACUAGCGUGAUGUCGAUUGGGGACUUUUCCUAAUUCUCUAUUGCCUGUGUGAUUCUAUUUCUUUAUGUAGUAUUGGGCCUGAUUAUUUUGGGUCAUCUAUUUCUAAUGAAGUCAUUUACUCAUCACCCAAAACAAAACCAGAAAACAAACCGGUACAUGUUUAGUGCACACCUAUUUAAAAGUUACAUCUUCUUUUCAUUGGGCGGAGAAAUUUGAAAGUUAUGAUGAAGUUCAUGUGCUUCUCCUCAAUCCUCGUUAGUUUAUAAUCUCAUUGUUCACAAGCUCACAAUUCACAAAGUUGUAGAUGUCCGUAAAUUAUUCAAAUGGUGCGGGUGACUCGUUAAAGCAACAUCUUCCUUUGUUGGGAUGAUAGACUAGUCUCAAAUGUCCACAAAAUUACCUUUUCUCUUGGGGGUCUUGGUCUCUGCACUCAUAUCAUUUGGCGAUGAUUGACACCUGGCUUGGUGUGGUUAAAUUAGUAUUUAUCCCUAAUCUUGGAUUUGGGUUUUCUUAAGCCGAUCGAGGUCCCUCACAUAUAUAGUGGAUUUCCAGCAAAGAUCGAAUCUUAUUGGUCUCACAAAUCGAAUUCACAUGGGCUCUGACCAAUGGGAACUUGUGUCUAGGGACACUUACCAAACCCUAAUCAUUAUUAAUUAGUGCUUAAGCAGUUAAGCUAACCCCUAAUUAGAAUAGCAGAGGUGCAUUAGAUUUGUGAGGGCCGCGAUCUUCAUCACCAUGUCAGAUACGUACGUACCUCAUUUGUUAUAUAAGAUGUGAGAUACCUAUUUUAUUUUUUAUUUUGGUGAUCGACUCAACCCCAAAUUUUAGUUUACCCCUAAAAUACGUCCUCAAUAAACAUAUUCGCAAAUAGCAGAUUAGAUAGGUAGGUUUCUGUAUUAUAUGCAAUAUACAUUCUAGGGUUUAGAGAGUUUUGGGUUUUACAAUGCCUACUCUUUUCUCGCAGGGCUGUGAUGGCUUCAUAUACUCUGGUCGUGAUCCGGCCUCUAGAAUAAUGCGUACAAAUACCGAGAUGUACUUGUUCAGGUGAUACUGUUGUUUUUCUGGCAAAGAAAAUCUGAUAUGCGAGUCUGUGACAGUGCAGGUUGGGCGUACGGAUUGUGUUUGAUAAAUUAUCGCUUGCUAUGAGCUUGAUAAAGGCGUGCGUGCGAAGAUUAACCAUCGAUUGGUGCUAAUUUUGAUUAACUAGCUAGUUCUUCACGUGUGAGUCUCAGUAAUUGGUACUUGAAGUGUAAAACAUGUGCUUCACUUCAAAUAUAAAUAUAACUAGAAUUUUAAUUGCAUGAUUUUGAUGAAAUUGUUGUUAUGACAAUUGACAGAUUCUUGGAUGAAGACUAUGUUUGUGAUUCAACUCAUACGGCUUCGUGAUACUAUGAAUGAAAAAGUUCCAGUAACUGAUCAGAUCAGUCGUACAUGACAGUUCCUCGAGUUUUUGAUCGAAAUCCCAGUUUCAAUGGACCUUAGCAAAAAAAAAAAAAAACUCUAGCUUCAUUUUGGUCUGACAAGGGAGUCUAUAUAUAGCAGACAUCACUUCGUUACGAAGUUGUUCAAAAAACUUAACAUUAAACUUUUCUUCUCUUAGCUAGUUCAAUAAAGUUUAAUGAUCAAAAGUCCCCCACAUUUUGGGACUGAGGUAAAGUAUCCUCACACACAGAACCUCAAGAUCCUAAUAUCCCUUCACUUAGGGUUUCUGAAAAUCCCUUGUGUUAUUGUGCUACCACCAACUAAUAAUUAAAAAGGAAAUUUCUCCAUUUUGAUGUCAUGACAUUUUACUUCUUUAAGCUUUGCAUAAACAGUACGAUAACACUUUGCUUUCCUUCAUUUAUAGAAAUUGGUUUUGAUAUAUUACUAAUAUUUGCUAAUCGAUCAACCUAUAUAAAUAUAUAUAUAUAUAUAUAACUUUUCUCAAGUGCGGAUGUCCGCACUGUUUUACGGUGCGGAUUUUCGUCCGUUCGCUACCAUACGGCGCCGGCAAGGGCGCGCCUCCACCCCAGCCGACUCCAGCAGCUUCCCCGACCACUUUCCAUCCCCUGUGAGUCCGCCGAAUUCCAGUUUUCCGGCCAGAUUGACUUUGUUUGAAGUUUUGGGUGAUCUGGCCGGAAAACUGGAUUUCGACGGACUCGCCGGGGAUGGAAAGUGGUCGGGGAAGCUGCUGGAGUCCGCUGGGGUGGAGGCGCGCCCUCGCGCGGCGCCGUACGGUGGCGAACGGACGAAAAUCCGCACCGUUAGCAGAGACGGACUGUCUAUAUAUAUAUAUCAUUUCAUUAACAAUACCCACACGCGUCAUAGACUAAUACGGCUGAUGACGCCAUGAGCAUCCAGCAACAAAGGAUAUAUCUAUACUCUACUAUAUAUAGCUACCAAUUCAUAUAAUUAUAGUCAUUCUUUUUAGAAAUUAGGACUUAAUUAUACUUAGUGCAAAGCCACUAAUGUAAGUUUAAUACUGGUUAAGUAAUUAGAACCAACCAGUUUAUCACCUCACUAUUAGAAAAAUGGGGUUUCACUUUCACCCCUAGACCACGUUUUCGUGUGUAUAUAAAGCUCAUAGUGAGUCAAGUCUUAACGCAAACUAAGCUAGCUGCUUACAAACCGUAGAUUGAUCAAUACCGUAAGUACUACAGUUCUUUAGCUCAAUGCACCUGCUGUUCUUCUUAAUCCUUACGCUAACAAUAGUUUCACUAUUCAUCAAGCUAGAUUUCUAAUUUUUCAUUUUAAUUUUUUUUGCAGAGACCUUAAAGACACAGAGAAUCGAAACAACAUAAGGCCAGGGAUAUGGGAAGGGGGAAGAUUGUGAUCCGAAGGAUCGAUAAUUGUACGAGCAGGCAAGUGACUUUCUCAAAGCGUAGGAAGGGUUUGAUCAAGAAGGCAAAGGAGUUGGCGAUUUUAUGCGAUGCAGAAGUUGGACUUCUGAUCUUCUCAAGCACUGGAAAGCUUUAUGAAUGUGCAAGUAACAGGUUAAUUUGGUCAAUAAUAAUUGUCUUUGAUCUUUAUAAAUAUCGAUCCCUCGGAUUCUUGUUACUGCAGCUAGUUUUACAUGCUUUCUUGGAUCAAAUACUUCAUUAUUAUUUCUAUAUUUUGUAGAUCUUUCACCAGCUAUAUACCUAUAUGUCUGAUAAUUUUCUGCAUAUAUCAUGCAUAUAUACAGAAUGUGAUGUGUUAUGCAUAUAUUAAUGUUUGUAAAGAUACUUGGGUUAAUAAAUGUUUUUAUGUAAGAUUAAGUGUUGCAUGUUCGCUGUUUCAUCUAAACAAAAGAGAGGAUUAUGGUUUAAAAAUCAGUAAAUUGAUAUAUUCCAGUUUUUAGGUUAGAUAUAUAUGUAGUAGUUUAUUUUCAACGAAAACAAUGAAGAGACUUAAAAACAAUGAAAAAGAAAACUGUUGGUAUUCAUAAUCUACUAAACUUCCAGAUUAGACCAAUGGUUUGUCACAUGGUUAUACAUUUACGAAAAUUUACUUUUGUAUAUUAUCUUUUUUUGGUUCAUAAAAUGGUGGUCGGGUGGGACUACCACUCCGAGGCCGGGAGCAACAUGGGUAUGGCCUCUCCCCAUGAGGUGUUUUUCACUUGCGGAUGAUUGAAUCAAAAUUUUGAUCUAAUUGUUAUCAAAAUUUCAUCAGAUAACCUUGGUCUGACAAAAAUCUCUAUUUAUUUGAUAUAUAGGUUAGAUGAUCAAAUGAUUAAUGAUUUGAAUGAAUUUUAUGAGAGUAUAGUAUACUGCCUUGGCUUUGAGCUUGUAUCAACUUUCUCAUAAUUCUUUUGGAAACUUUUCUUCUUCUUUUUUCUUCGUUUUGUUAAUUUCACAACUGUACGUGCAACAUCUGAUUACUUCAUGUCCUUCCUCCAGCAUGAAAUUAGUCAUAGAGAGAUAUAACAAAACCAAAGAGGAACACCAGCGACUUCUUAAUCCAGCAUCAGAAAUGAAGGUCUUCUCUAUUACAAUUAUUUAUCACUACUUUCAUGUUUCUUUUUCUUUAUGUUUUGAUCCCCCCUGUUUGUUUGAGCUUAAAUUUAAUGUCAGGGUAAAAUUUUCCAAUCUUAAAACCACUGUGCAUCAACCAAGGUUGAAUUCUCCAUGAAUUUUCGUUUCAUAUAUAUUAUUUAUUUCCUCUCUUAAUUUGAAGAGAAAAGGUUUUCCAUGAGUUAGUCACUUUGUUUAGUCAUAUUUAUAGUCAUGAUUAUGUAAUGCAUCUUCCAUAUUUCUAGUAUAUGUCUACCUCAACAUGCAUUGUAGAAAAAUCUAUUAUAAACCCUUUUGUGCUACCAAGCUGCAAAAUUUCUUAUAUAUCUGUGAAAUUUUAAACCCUUUUGUGUUACCAAGCUGCAAAAAUAAUUCACCUGUCAAAAAUUCUAGACAUUCAACACUCUGAUAUGUAUUGGAUAGGUUUCAAUGAAAAAGAAAUCCAUCUCCCCGUGGUUUCCUGUACUUCCCUGGAUAACAAAGACAAGAGUACGUAGUACAAUAUUCUAGAGUCCUGCUUAAGCAAGUCAAACGAACUAUUCUUUAAUGGAAUUAUGUCAAUCUGUAUGUUUAAGUUUUUUCUGAAUCAUGAAUAUAUUUCAGAAGUUCUUUGAGAUUUCGAAAAUUUAUAGAUGUCAGAAAAGCUUACAUUCUACUCCAUCAUCAGGCAUGAAGAGAAAAUAUAACAUAGUAUAUCCAUUUCCUUGUCACUGAUCAAGUAACUAAGUUAGUUCGACUUCAACCUGAUUGUAAUAGCUUUGCACAAUUCGCUAUAUUCCUAGAAAACAAAAAAAUUUCGACGUCUGUUAAUAUACAAAUUGAAAUAUUUCUCAAUUGACUACAGAUAUGUAGCAAUGUAGUUGUGUCCUUAAUCCUUAGUCCGAACUCCUGACAUACACUGGAACACCAACUACAUACAUAUUAAGUAUCAUUCCCCACCAUGAAGAAAAAUGGUCGAGGCUUAAUUAGUUUCAGAUUCCCAUUUGAAGAAAGUUGAAUUAUCUUUGAACUUUCAGCUGCCACGAAUGUGAGAUGUACAUGUUAUCUUCGGAAACAAGGUCCUGAUGAUGGGAUAGUGAAGUAACAUAAUUCCAUUAUAUGAUAGUUCGUUUGUCUUGAUUAAGACGUACUGGUAGAAUAUGUAGGAACAAUCAGCUAAAACAAAAUGUACAUAUGCUGCAAGAAACUUGUUUAGUAAAUAAAUUAAACUUAGUAGCAAUGUGAAAAAUUACUAGUUUAAAAAAAUUUAAACAACUGCAUGAUCUUGAUGAACAAAACUUAAAUUUCCAAUGGAAUACAUUUGCAACCAAGGGGGAUGGAUAGCUUGUACCAUUGAUGUUUGCUAGUCUGAAACUGGUUUAAAAGGUUAUUUCUUGCUUCAGGCAUAUUUCUUAAAGAACUUCAUCAUUUCUCUUCAGAAUAUAUAAUUUUUUUUUUCUUUUGGAAGAUAAAUCUUGCAUUUAACUUGAAUUAUCACACUUGCUAGUUUUGGCAAAGGGAAGUCACCAUCUUACGGGAGCAACUACAGAACUUGCGAGAAAACCAUCGGUACAAACUUUCUCCUCCUUCGUUUUAGAAUUUUACAAUGUAUUUCAAAACACGCAUGAUGAAGACAAUAAUGUGCAUAUGUAUCCAAGCGAAAAUGAUAUUACAUUGAGCAUGUAUAUAUUUCAAUAACUUGAUGAUCAGCUUGACAAGAUAUAAUACAAGUGAGCAUUUGAUCCUUUACUGCUUAAUUAUCUUAGUUUCAUUGUGGUGAAUUGAAGAUCACCAACGAUAUAUAUUCGAGUAAUCCAGAUUCUGAUAUCUAUGACAGGCAGUUCAUGGGGGAACAGCUUUGUGGUUUGACUCUUAAAGAGCUAAAGGGUCUAGAAAAUCAAUUAGAAAUGAGUCUGCAGGGUAUUCGUUUGAAAAAGGUCCGUUCAAAGGCUUCACUCUCUCUAUAAUUUCUUUUCCUUUCUUCAUUUGUUUUUGGACAUGCUGCACAAUCCGUUAGGAUUAUCGAUUUGCAGUAUAUUACAAGUCUGAUAAAUAACAUGAAGUUUUAAUCCCCUGCAGGAAAAAAUGUUAACUGAUGAAAUUGAAGACCUAAAUGAAAAGGUUUUGUCCCGGAACACUUACAAUAUUUAGUUAUUCCUUGCUACACUUCCUAGUUCCUACUGUAAUCCUUGUCACUGUUUCCAUUUUUUCGUUCCUUACAGGGUAAUUUUAUUCAUCAACAAAAUUUGGAACUGUACAAGAAGGUAAUAAACCUUAGUUUUAAAAGAAAAAUUGGAUUUAAAUAAGAAUAUUCUGCUUUGGUUUGACCACGAACAUAAAUCGAUUAAAUCUUUCAAGAAAAUAAGGCCUUAUUACGUAGCUAUAAGCAGCAUUAACUGUGAGGCUUCUUGUAUCAGGUUUUUGGCACAAGCUCCCUGAAUUCUGAAAAUCGAAGUGGUUGCAUUCCCUUUGGCAUGAGCACAAAUGCACAAAUGAGGAGUCACAUCUCCCCAUCCGCCUUCAGCUAAGCCGAGAUGGUCAACAAACUUAAGAGGCUAUUCCAAGUUAGUGCUAUAUAUGAGAGUUAUUAUUCUAAAUUUCUGUUUUGGUUGAAAAUUUUAUCUGAAAUAUGGUUAUGUAACUCUGCAGCAGUCUAUAUAUGAAAGCAGUGAGAGGACUUUGGACAAAUGCCCUAAACCACAUACCUUAUGACCCAAGCAAGUACAAAAGAGUGCGCUCUUCCAGUUCUUCUUAUGAGAUGAACAAGUAGAAUACCUCAACGAAACUUAUAUUAUACUUGUAUAUGUUUGACUAUAUAUGAAUUUAGCUAAAGUCAUCAGCAAAUGUCCUGUAUUAUCUUGACUAGCUCAAUCGGAGAAAAUGAUUCUUCUUCAUCAUGGGAUUCAUUUGGUACUUCGAUUCUGCGAAUUUCAUUUUACCCAAAAUUCUUAAGAAACGUGGCCGAGCACAAGUUUACCGAAGAAGACAUCGACAUGAAUGUGUUCAAGUCCAAGUCCAUACUGAGUCAAGGAUCACUUCAAAAUUACUUCGUCUUUCUUGGCAAAGAACCAAACGAAAACAGAGACGAAAGUAAUAGCAGCAGUCUAACACCUCAGUAACUAAUAAGAUCCAACAAUGUCCCCAUAUAUUAUAGCUAACAUAAAAUAGCUCAGUACUACUUCAAUCGAUCUUUCUUCUUCAUAUAACUAUGUGGAUGUGAGGAAUUGACCUACCAGCUAACUGUUUCAAAUGUAGAUAAUAGUUCAGGCCCUGGUCUAUUUAUAUAUGUGAGAUCGUUAUGAAAACUUUUGCUCUCUAACAAAAAGAUUGAAACCUAUAAAAUUUUAGUCCAAUGGUUCAAACUGGUACUACCAGCAAUCUAGCAUACGAUUUUUCAGAAGGAAAACAGAAUAGGCAGUACUACUGAGAGGAAAACCACAACACUCAGAUUUCCAUAGAUCUGAAUCAAGUUUGAGCAAAAUGUUAAUGAAUCUAUACUUACACAAUAGUACUAUCACCGAUCUAGAUCACCGUCCCAUCUGACAUUGUUAAACACUUGUGAACGGCGUCCGGGCUCUUCUUCAUACAAGUGACACCCAUCGUCGAAGUUCUGCGAAUAGCUCACCGCAUCAUACUGAAACGACACAGCUUUGCUUGAUCCAUAUAUGCUUCUAAUUCUUCUUCUUCUGCCCCCAUCGCUCAUCACCAACCUCCUGAGAAAGUUUCUCCAUCUCCUCGGGCUUCUCUUGUUUUCACCACAGCUCUCCAUGCGACUGUACCCCAAUUCUUCGUGCACCGGGAAACACGACGGCGACAUCAUGCACCCCGGAAGGUAAGUCGAUCGCCGGGGAGGGAUGAGAUCCCCUUCCAUUGAGUAGUUUUACCGAACAAGCUAGCUAGUUCUUGGCUCUUACUAGAGCUUUGGCUAUAUGAGUUGGGUGAAGAUGAUGCUACAUGUAUAUAACUAUAUAUAUGUAGGUAUUGAUUAUAUUAAGCAUGAUCAACGUAAAAUGUUAUCGGUUACAGCCAGUUUCGUGGGCCUCGUACAUGUUAUAUUUCGAGUAUGAAAAUGAUAGCACAUUGCAGAGAUAGACAAAACCUCACUUGUCCCAAAAGCAUAUUUCACACCAAUUGUCCUAGAAUAAUUGUUUUGGUGGGUUAUUCUAUAUGUUAUCUACCAAAGCUUCAAUCUUACCUUAUUUUCUUUCUCUUGACAAACUUAAUUGGUGAGGCUUAAGUUUAGGGUUCGUUGCCUUCCAUUUCGUAUGCUAAAUUUCGAGCCGAUGUAGGUGUGUAAUUUAUGUUGAUAUCGUGUCUAUUGACAUGUUUAAACACAGAGCGGAAGGAAAGAACAGACCAAGCAAGAAAUUAAUUAAGCACAUAGUUAGCAACGAUGAUCUUGUAGAGAGAUUCAAAAAGCAAACUGAAGCAAAAUGAUUGAAGGGAAUUAUUAACAGCCAUGAAAACUUUCCAAGAUGAGAAAAGAGAGA
Molecule: long non-coding RNA, 33763 nt
Filed under: Fragaria vesca (wild strawberry)
Lineage: Eukaryota; Viridiplantae; Streptophyta; Magnoliopsida; Rosales; Rosaceae
Description: long non-coding RNA (FVES_LNC000399)
Source: RNAcentral